This 1052-nucleotide ribosomal RNA is filed under the name Triticum aestivum (bread wheat). Its description in RNAcentral is "partial small subunit ribosomal RNA". Lineage: Eukaryota; Viridiplantae; Streptophyta; Magnoliopsida; Poales; Poaceae. The record is from RNAcentral.
AUGGCGAGCUACCACUUCCUGGUGCAGCAACUCAGCGGAUAUUUCGAGGGGUGUGAGUUCUUUCACAUUCCAAGAAAUGACAAUGACCAAGCGGAUGCCCUGGCACGAGUCGGCUCCACCCGUCAAGCAAUACCAUCCGGCGUCGCCUUUCAGCGCCUCCUCAAGCUGUCUAUCAAGCCUUCGCCAGAAUCAGACUCCAUUUUUGUGACAGCUCCCCCCGAAGAAGUCGGAUCCGACUCAAGAGCACCAGCAGACGGCUCCAAAAAUACCGCAGUCAAAGCCGGCUCGGGGACUUCAGAACCCGGCCCGGGGACUGCGACAGUUAGCCUGAAGACUUCAGAACUCGGCCCGGGGACUGUUCCAUUCGGCCCGGGGACUUCAUCGACCCAGCAAGCGGCCGCGAAUCCCAGCCCGCCGCCUCCCAGCCCAACCACCCUUGUCCAAGUCGCAAUAAUGGCAAUCGAAGAAGUAGCAGCACCCUCAUGGGCCCAGUCCAUCCUCAAGUUCCUAGUAAACAGAGAGCUGCCAGCUGAUGAAAUCCUGGCUCGGCAAGUGCAACGCCGAGCGGCAGCCUAUACCAUAGUCAACAGAGAGCUGGUCAGGCGCAGUGUCACUGGUGUCUACCAACGCUGUGUCGAGGCAGAACAAGGCCAAGCAAUUCUCAGAGACAUCCAUGAAGGCGAGUGUGGCCAUCAUGCGACUUCAAGGGCACUCGUCGCCAAAGCCUUCCGACACGGAUUCUUCUGGCCGACUGCCCUGGAAGAGGCCAAAGAAUUUGUCCAAAACUGCAAAGGGUGCCAGAUGUUCCGUUCCAAGCCACUCCAGCCGGCUUCGGCGCUCAAGACCAUUCCCAUCGCCUGGCCCUUUGCGGUUUGGGGCCUGGACAUGGUGGGACCAUUCAAGACGGCACGAGGCGGCCUAACUCACCUACUUGUCGCAGUGGACAAGUUCACCAAGCGGAUAGAAGCAAAACCCAUCAAGAAAUUGAAUGGUCCGACUGCAGUAACCUUCAUCGCCGACAUUACGACUCGGUACGGCAUACCACAUAGCAU